This 76-nucleotide transfer RNA is filed under the name Candidatus Sungiibacteriota bacterium. RNAcentral describes it as "tRNA-Arg". It matches the Rfam family "tRNA". From Rfam's summary of the family: Transfer RNA (tRNA) molecules are approximately 80 nucleotides in length. Their secondary structure includes four short double-helical elements and three loops (D, anti-codon, and T loops). Lineage: Bacteria; Candidatus Sungiibacteriota. The record is from RNAcentral.
GCCCUCGUAGUUCAACUGGAUAGAACGCUGGCCUCCGAAGCCGGUAAUGGCAGUUCGAAUCCGCCCGAGGGCACCA